UUAUAACAGAUUUGUCUAAGAAUCGCAGUUUUUUGUUUUGAUUAUUAUUUAUGUAAAAAGAUUGUGUGUACCUAGAUAUAUUUACAUCCACGUUUGAAAUCUAGAUUUCAAUUUUAGAAUACGAUUAUGGUAUCAUAAUUUUAUAUAGCUGAACCUAGUGCCUUUACCGAUAACCGGCUAUAUAGGUAGUUCAAAUGGAUAAAAAAUUAGCCUUCCUUAUUAUUAGUGCUACAGACGCUACAGUGGUGACGAUAAAGAUUACUAAAACAGUAACGCGUUCUAACCGCAUUAAUCGAUGCGAUUUAGAUUUAUCUUUGAUAAAUAGCCUAUGUAAGACUAAACCCGUACCUGGUUUUAAUGUAUCAGCCGUCCUGUAAGCAUUAUCAAAAUCAUUUUUUAACACAGCUUUUAUUAUUUAUUAAGUGUUACAACCAAAAAGAUUUUCAAGGGACAUGGGAAAAUGUUCGUUAUAUUGAUAUUGGUAUAUGGAACGAUGCAACGAUAUUCUCAAAGGGACGAUAGUUUCGUCCGUUAAAUAGAAAUAGUAGUAAUUAUACCGAGUGUCGUUAUAUCGCAGAUUAACUGUAUUUUGUAAUCACCGUCUACUGAGAGACGUCUCCGCCAAUACUGUAUGUACAGUUCUAUUAUGCAUUAUAUGUGAGAUGUCACGGUUUUAAUUUUUGGUUACUCUUACUCAUCCUAAUACAUCAUGAGCUGUCGAGGCCGAUUGCCAUUUUUUAGGAACUCAAUGACGAAACAGGUAUUCGUGUCUACCGGCCGCAGACUUCGUUCGGUCAACCAAUAAGCAAUUCAACAGUGACGUUUCAUUUCAUACGCAGUUUUAACACCAACAGAGAGUGAAAAAAUGGAUCUGCCAUUUCGUCUUUAAAAGACACGAGGGACGUAUCACACAAGUGUGUAAUAUUGGAAUAAUCCAGUAAUGAUACGUAACAUACUAUGCCAGGCGUAUUAAUGCUGUGUGGAACCUCAGAAGGUUUGCGUGCGAGUUGUCAAAAUCACACUUGGGAAUUGUCAAACGUUAACAUCCGACAAGUUGUUAUCAUCACAUUGGAGUUCGAGAAGCCGUUAAUUAUAAGAUAAUUAUGAGUAAAUCAGGAGUUAAGCCCACAAAGUAAUUCCAAUUUAACAG
Molecule: long non-coding RNA, 1150 nt
Organism: Melanaphis sacchari
Lineage: Eukaryota; Metazoa; Arthropoda; Insecta; Hemiptera; Aphididae
Exons: 3
Source: RefSeq, a predicted model, not a curated record